RNAcentral lists this long non-coding RNA (1108 nucleotides) under Lynx canadensis (Canada lynx). RNAcentral's name for it is "lncRNA (ENSLCNG00005018216.1)". Lineage: Eukaryota; Metazoa; Chordata; Mammalia; Carnivora; Felidae. The record is from RNAcentral.
GGGAGGGUGGGUGAUGGGUAUUGAGGAGGGCACCUUUUGGGAUGAGCACUGGGUGUUGUAUGGAAACCAAUUUGUCAAUAAAUUUCAUAUAUAAAAAAAAAAAAAAGAAAAGAAAAUGUGGCCUUGAAGUGUGAAGUCUUUCCUUCAUGCUCAAUUCACAAAUUUGCUUGCACUUUUACUUCUUUAAAAAUGUUUUAAACAUUUUUGAGACAGACUGCGAGUGGGGGAGGGGCAGAGAGAGAAGGAGACACCGAAUUCGAAGCAGGAUCCAGGCUCUGAGUUCUCAGGACAGAGCCCUACCUGGGGCUCAAACCCACAAACUGAGAGAUCAUGACCUGAACCGAAGUCAGGCUUGACUGAGCCACUCAGGCGCCCCCACGUGCGCUUUUAGGAAAAGGAUUGUUGGGGCGCCUGGGUGGCUCAGUUGGUUUAAGCAUCCGACUUCAGCUCAGGUCGUGGGGGUUGAUGCGUUUGAGUCCCCCCAUGGGACUCUGCGGUCAGCACUUCAGAUCCUCUGUCCCCUCUCUCUGGCCCUCCCCUGCUUGUGCGCACUCUCCCUCUCCGUGUCUUAAAAGAAAUAAACUUAAAAAAUGUAUUUAAAGAAACGAUGGUUUACUUACAGAUUCAAAGUCAUACUCCCAAGAGUUGCGUGUAUUUUGCCUCCUGUGCGGCAGUUUCCCUGAUUAUUUAAAUGAGCAGCCAGGCCCCAAACGCAGCUGGUUGGCUAGCCUCAGUGCCAUCAAAGGGAACGGAGCCUCACUGCGAUUGCGUGCAGUUGGCUUGGCCGAGGCUCCCUGCCCUCCGGUACAACUCAGGGAGGCACACGCUUAGCAUUUUAAUCACACUUCGGCCAACCUUCGAAGCUGGCAUGGGGGGAGGGGGGAAAAUCAACUUCCUGCUGGCUUUCAAGUUUGACGACAGAACGGCCACACCAAAUGAACUUGCAGCCCUGCCGCUCUCGGUGGCCUUCCUGGCCCGGCUGGAGUCAGGUGACAUCCGUGCCCUCGGCUGGUGGCCAGGGGCUGGCGGAGAGAGAAUGUACAGCAGCCGACGAAUUCCCCGGGGGUGUUCUGUCCAGCGCCGGACUUCGAGGACUUGCCCAAAAUAG